ACACUUACCUGGCAGGGGAGAUACCAUGAUCACAAAGGUAGUUUUCCCAGGGCUAGGCUUCUCCAUUGUACUCGGAAGUGCUGAUCCCUGCGAUUUCCAAAUGUGGGAAACUCGACUGCAUAAUUUGUAGUAGUGGGGAACUGCGAUCAUGCUUUCCCUUG
Molecule: non-coding RNA, 161 nt
Organism: Otolemur garnettii (small-eared galago)
Lineage: Eukaryota; Metazoa; Chordata; Mammalia; Primates; Galagidae
Source: Rfam